This 474-nucleotide ribosomal RNA is filed under the name uncultured bacterium. Its description in RNAcentral is "partial 16S ribosomal RNA". It matches the Rfam family "Bacterial small subunit ribosomal RNA", at positions 37 to 537 of the family's 1533-position model. The record is from RNAcentral.
AGCGAACGCUGGCGGCAGGCCUAACACAUGCCAGUCGAACGAACCUUUCGGGGUUAGUGGCGGACGGGUGAGUAACACGUGGGAACGUGCCUUUAGGUUCGGAAUAACUCAGGGAAACUUGUGCUAAUACCGAAUGUGCCCUUCGGGGGAAAGAUUUAUCGCCUUUAGAGCGGCCCGCGUCUGAUUAGCUAGUUGGUUGAGGUAAUGGCUCACCAAGGCGACGAUCAGUAGCUGGUCUGAGAGGAUGAUCAGCCACAUUGGGACUGAGACACGGCCCAAAGGGAAAAGGGAGGCAGGCGGGGGGAAGGCGGCGGCAGGGGCGACAGCAGGACGGAGCGAUGCGGGGGGGAUGAGGAAGGUCUUAGGAUUGAACAAUUCAUUCGGGGGAAAAGAGAAAGGUGGUAGCGGGAGAAGAGGCCCCGGCGUACGUCGCGCCGGCAGGCGCGGGAUAAUGAAGAGACGACACAUCUUGCC